This 1011-nucleotide ribosomal RNA is filed under the name Escherichia coli. RNAcentral describes it as "partial 23S ribosomal RNA". It matches the Rfam family "Bacterial large subunit ribosomal RNA", at positions 1920 to 2925 of the family's 2925-position model. Lineage: Bacteria; Pseudomonadati; Pseudomonadota; Gammaproteobacteria; Enterobacterales; Enterobacteriaceae. The record is from RNAcentral.
CCGGUAAACGGCGGCCGUAACUAUAACGGUCCUAAGGUAGCGAAAUUCCUUGUCGGGUAAGUUCCGACCUGCACGAAUGGCGUAAUGAUGGCCAGGCUGUCUCCACCCGAGACUCAGUGAAAUUGAACUCGCUGUGAAGAUGCAGUGUACCCGCGGCAAGACGGAAAGACCCCGUGAACCUUUACUAUAGCUUGACACUGAACAUUGAGCCUUGAUGUGUAGGAUAGGUGGGAGGCUUAGAAGUGUGGACGCCAGUCUGCAUGGAGCCGACCUUGAAAUACCACCCUUUAAUGUUUGAUGUUCUAACGUUGACCCGUAAUCCGGGUUGCGGACAGUGUCUGGUGGGUAGUUUGACUGGGGCGGUCUCCUCCUAAAGAGUAACGGAGGAGCACGAAGGUUGGCUAAUCCUGGUCGGACAUCAGGAGGUUAGUGCAAUGGCAUAAGCCAGCUUGACUGCGAGCGUGACGGCGCGAGCAGGUGCGAAAGCAGGUCAUAGUGAUCCGGUGGUUCUGAAUGGAAGGGCCAUCGCUCAACGGAUAAAAGGUACUCCGGGGAUAACAGGCUGAUACCGCCCAAGAGUUCAUAUCGACGGCGGUGUUUGGCACCUCGAUGUCGGCUCAUCACAUCCUGGGGCUGAAGUAGGUCCCAAGGGUAUGGCUGUUCGCCAUUUAAAGUGGUACGCGAGCUGGGUUUAGAACGUCGUGAGACAGUUCGGUCCCUAUCUGCCGUGGGCGCUGGAGAACUGAGGGGGGCUGCUCCUAGUACGAGAGGACCGGAGUGGACGCAUCACUGGUGUUCGGGUUGUCAUGCCAAUGGCACUGCCCGGUAGCUAAAUGCGGAAGAGAUAAGUGCUGAAAGCAUCUAAGCACGAAACUUGCCCCGAGAUGAGUUCUCCCUGACUCCUUGAGAGUCCUGAAGGAACGUUGAAGACGACGACGUUGAUAGGCCGGGUGUGUAAGCGCAGCGAUGCGUUGAGCUAACCGGUACUAAUGAACCGUGAGGCUUAACCUU